This 800-nucleotide ribosomal RNA is filed under the name uncultured bacterium. RNAcentral's name for it is "bacterial SSU rRNA". It matches the Rfam family "Bacterial small subunit ribosomal RNA", at positions 8 to 806 of the family's 1533-position model. The record is from RNAcentral.
AGAGUUUGAUCAUGGCUCAGGAUGAACGCUGGCGGCGUGCUUAACACAUGCAAGUCGAACGAAGCGCCUUUACUGAUUUCCUUCGGGGAUGAUUUAAUGGUGACUUAGUGGCGGACGGGUGAGUAACGCGUGGGCAACCUGCCCCAUACAGGGGGAUAACAGCCGGAAACGGCUGCUAAUACCGCAUAAGCGCACAGUGCCGCAUGGCACAGUGUGAAAAACUCCGGUGGUAUGGGAUGGGCCCGCGUCUGAUUAGCUUGUUGGCGGGGCAGCGGCCCACCAAGGCGACGAUCAGUAGCCGGCCUGAGAGGGCGACCGGCCACAUUGGGACUGAGACACGGCCCAGACUCCUGCGGGAGGCAGCAGUGGGGAAUAUUGCACAAUGGGGGAAACCCUGAUGCAGCGACGCCGCGUGAGCGAAGAAGUAUUUCGGUAUGUAAAGCUCUAUCAGCAGGGAAGAAAAUGACGGUACCUGACUAAGAAGCUCCGGCUAAAUACGUGCCAGCAGCCGCGGUAAUACGUAUGGAGCAAGCGUUAUCCGGAUUUACUGGGUGUAAAGGGAGCGCAGGCGGCGCGGCAAGUCUGAUGUGAAAACCCGGGGCCCAACCCCGGGAGUGCAUUGGAAACUGCCGUGCUUGAGUGUCGGAGGGGUAAGCGGAAUUCCUAGUGUAGCGGUGAAAUGCGUAGAUAUUAGGAGGAACACCGGUGGCGAAGGCGGCUUACUGGACGAUAACUGACGCUGAGGCUCGAAAGCGUGGGGAGCAAACAGGAUUAGAUACCCUGGUAGUCCACGCCGUAAA